AGCCAAGGAUGACUUGCCUG
RNAcentral lists this non-coding RNA (20 nucleotides) under Arabidopsis thaliana (thale cress). RNAcentral also lists the same sequence under 2 other names. The record is from RNAcentral. Lineage: Eukaryota; Viridiplantae; Streptophyta; Magnoliopsida; Brassicales; Brassicaceae.